CGAGGGUAGUCGAAAAGAAGAGUCGUGCAGUAGAAAGCCACUCUAGGAGUAGGAGCCCACGAUGCCUGUCUCCCAGAAAACGUGGUCUUUCUCUCGAGGGUCUAGGAGACUUAAGGAACUGGGCUACGAGCCUAGGCCCGCGCUCGACCAAUUUAUUGACUCUUGGGGCGGGGGGGGGAGAAACGGGACGGAGCAAAGUGGAGGGAAUUCGAAAUUUGGGCUGAAGAAGUCGAGGGGUACCUACCCCGUUUUCCCCCGCCUUCCUCGAUUAUCCACCGUGUUCCUGGAAACGUGGGACCCGGCGGCCUUGCGACUUUGUUAAGAAUUUUGGCUCCUUCUUACCCUGCUUCUUCACCCCUCCUCCAAGCCUCCGGGACCUUUGACCGCCGAGAGCUCUCUACGCGGGGGAGAAAAAAACUCGGGGAGGGCCUGUCCCCUCCGAAGCGCCGCUUUUCCUAGGACAGGAAGAAGUGACCUAUUACAGUGUCUCCAUUGCUGUUAAAGAAGUUCUCGGAUUCAUACAAUAGUGUAUAGCUAAGAGCUCUUAGUUCCUCUUUUCUUUUUUAAAAAUUUUUGGUUUGAAUAUUCCUCUAAUAUUACUUUUUAAUUAAAAGAAAAGGAAUAAAUAUAUUUAAUAACAAGACAAAUUUUCUAAAUGAGGAGAAACGAAAGACCCUUGUGAAUCGUGGAGAUUUCAUCCGGUAUCACCUCUAAAGCAUUCCUAAUGCAAUAUAAUGAUUAAUCUCAGCCCUCAAAUUAUAUUCCACACUUGUUUUAGUUUCCCAUUCUCUGUGCUUACUGUUAUUUUCCUGCAACUUUAAAAAAGAGUUAUGGUAUAUUUAAUCAACUGAACAAUAAAAGUUAAA
Neogale vison (American mink) is the source of this 866-nucleotide long non-coding RNA. RefSeq lists it as uncharacterized. The record is from RefSeq and is a predicted model, not a curated record. The transcript is spliced from 3 exons. NCBI's taxonomy places the organism in Eukaryota, Metazoa, Chordata, Mammalia, Carnivora, Mustelidae.